Molecule: long non-coding RNA, 1894 nt
Filed under: Calidris pugnax (ruff)
Lineage: Eukaryota; Metazoa; Chordata; Aves; Charadriiformes; Scolopacidae
Description: lncRNA (ENSCPUG00000008115.1)
Source: RNAcentral
GCUCCGGAGGGGAGGCUCGGCCAGGCUUUCGGAGGCUGACGGAUCCCAGUGCCCAGACGUUCACCCGUCCCACAGCUGCUGUAGGAGACCCUACGGCUGCCGCAGCCUUGACGAUCAGCUGGUUCUGUGGAGGACAGCCACAACCCCCGGGUCCUCUUCAGGCCACAUACAAAAGCCGUGUGUGUUGCAAGAGGGCUGCGGACCACCCUUGGGAGCCCUUGAUGGACAGCUUCCCGCCUCCUGCCCCUCAGCAUCACCCUGAAAUCAUCGUUUCUGCUGGGCCACAGGCCUUCCCUGAGCUGGCCUGAAACGCCAACGCUUGUUUUCCUCUUGCACUGAAUAAGAGACUGACAAUAUCUAAUUGUCAGUACCCCUCCCCUGAGAGACGUGCAACAGCAUUGCUCCUCAGGGCAUAUUCCCCACUGCUGUAUUUAGAACAGUUUGAAAAGACCAAAUUUUAAAAAUAAUAAUCUUUCCAAAAACUCCCCACCCACCAGCACUCCUCUGCCAAAUUUCAGUUUGAAGAAAAUGAAAAAAGACAAGUUUAUACACUGAUGAACGGGAGUUCAAAAUGGAACCUGAACAUCGUAAUUCUUGUAUCUUCUGGCAGGGCACCACAGUGGUGCUCACAGGAGCAGCCCUGGAGAUGAUCUGCACUUACUGGCUGUGAGGAGGCUGGUGGACAUCGGGACAUGCUCCCUGCAGACAGCCCUGUUCUACAUUUGCUCUUGUGGAAGGCAGCCCCUGCUACGGGCAGAGCAAGAGCAGCACAAAGCGCUGCCGAUGGUCCCUUCAGACAUCCUGAGGGAGGGCAAGAGAGUGGCCACAGCAUCAACGGGGAACUUUUCCAAACCUAGGAGCAGAGGCGUACUGGAAGGAGAAGAGCCUUAACAUCAGGGGAACCAGCAAACAAACCAGCCACAGGCACCAACGCCGGCACCUUCCAUUGAGAGGAAACGACCCGCAGGAGGAAAUGUGCUCCUUCUCCGUCACUAACAGGGCAAAGUCCCUGGCGAACAGGUUCCAGGACACUUUAACAAACAGCGUCAACAGCCCAUUUCCCAGAGCUCAAGAGAGACAGUGGUGACAUGCUCUAAGUGCCUCUGCUGAAUUUUGGAAGGGUUGUGCUGUUCCAGGGUUAUCUGAACAGAAGAGAGUUCUAUUUUUCAUCCAUGUCGAAGUAUGAACUGUUUGGCACCACAAACAUCUGGAGGGUGUAUCUCUAACUGAGGACUACCCGAAGAGAAGCUCUAGACAAUACGAUAAACACUGGCCACACUGCAUUGUGUCCGUAGGAGGCAGAGAGAAGCAAUGGGCAUUGCCCUGCCUUCGGUGCAGAGGCAGUGAAGACAAAUACCCACCUGGGCAAAACGGAUGGAGCUGAAGAACUUUACGGGUGCUGCUGCCUCCUUGUUUCUGAUAAGGGAAGCGUAUUUGGUGUAUGUCACAGACAAUGACAGUGGCAGGGGUUGAGGUUAUUGGAUGACAAACCUGGUCCCACAGGUCUGGUGAGAUUCUUGCCCUGCAUGCUGUGCCCAAGGAGGAGGAGCAGCAGCAUUUGGGUCCCUAUUGUAUGUACACAAAGCCAGCAUGUUGUCUGCAAGUGGGACGUUGGGGCUUGGACAGUAAUUCUGGAAUAUGUUUUUCUCCUUGGGAUAUUUCUGAACUGCAGUCAGCGUGCUCCCCACUAGAAAGUGACAUGUAGGAGCCACCCUCUCUUGUUGAAAACUUGGUAGAACGUCUGUACAAUAUUAUGGUCACCAAACUAUGUCUAAACCUAAUUGGUUGCAUGUGGGAUUGACUGCUUUAAUAUAAAGAACUGAAUGCACUGAAGACCUGCCAGAGGUUGUGGAAAAGAUCAAAGGAGGUCAGAUAAAAGGCCAAAUGGAGCUUU